This 492-nucleotide ribosomal RNA is filed under the name uncultured bacterium. Its description in RNAcentral is "bacterial SSU rRNA". It matches the Rfam family "Bacterial small subunit ribosomal RNA", at positions 28 to 537 of the family's 1533-position model. The record is from RNAcentral.
GAUGAACGUUGGCGGUGUGCCUAAUACAUGCAAGUCGAACGGAGUUAAUAGCAAUAUUGACUUAGUGGCGUACGGGUGAGUAACGCGUUGGUGAUCUGCCUUGAAGUGUGGAAUAACGCUCCGAAAGGAGCGCUAAUACCGCAUGUGCUCUCAAUUUUUAGAAAGUUGAGAGGAAAGGAUUUAUUCGCUUCGAGAGGAGCCUGCGUCCCAUCAGCUGGUUGGUAGGGUAAAGGCCUACCAAGGCAAUGACGGGUAGGGGACCUGAGAGGGUGGCCCCCACAAUGGAACUGAAACACGGUCCAUACACUACGGGUGGCAGCAGUAGGGAAUAUUAGAAAUGGACGAAAGUCUGAUCUAGCAACACCGCGUGUGCGAAGAAGGCCUUCGGGUCGUAAAGCACUUUUUGGAAGGAAUAGGAAGGGAAAUGUACUUCCAGAAUAAAGUACUCGGCUAACUAACGUGCCAGCAAGCCGCGGUAAACUCUCGUCUCUA